CCUACGGGUGGCAGCAGUAGGGAAUCUUUCACAAUGGGCGAAAGCCUGAUGGAGCAACGCCGCGUGCAGGAAGAAGGCCUUCGGGUUGUAAACUGCUUUUAUAAGCGAGAAAUAUGAUGGUAACUUAUGAAUAAGGAUCGGCUAACUACGUGCCAGCAGCCGCGGUCAUACGUAGGAUCCGAGCAUUAUCCGGAGUGACUGUGUGUAAAGAGUUACGUAGGUGGCAUAAUAAGUAGCUAGUGAAAUCUGGUGGCUCAACCAUUCAUACUAUUAGCUAAACUGUUAAGCUCGAGACCGUUAGGGGUAACUGGAAUUUCUAGUGUAGGAGUGAAAUCCGUAGAUAUUAGAAGGAACACCAGUAGCGUAGGCAGGUUGCUGGGACGGUUCUGACACUAAGGCACGAAAGCGUAGGGAGCAAACGGGAUUAGAUACCCCAGUAGUC
This 442-nucleotide ribosomal RNA is filed under the name uncultured bacterium. RNAcentral's name for it is "partial 16S ribosomal RNA". It matches the Rfam family "Bacterial small subunit ribosomal RNA", at positions 338 to 795 of the family's 1533-position model. The record is from RNAcentral.